CCAGCCACAUGGGCCUCUCUUUACACUCAUAAGGAGGGUUGAUGCAGGACCACAGUACUUUUACACACUGUACCAGCAGAAGGAGUCUCCAUCAAGAUGCCAAAAGCACAUCCUUAUUGUGAGGAACUCCUUAUACAAUAUUAUGAUGGUCUCCAAAAGAGGAAAGGUAGAAUAAACAUUAUUUGAGUUUAGCACUUGAUAAUUUAUGGGUUUAGAGUGUCAGGACAUUAGAGACAACCUUGCAAUGCUCAGCACAACUUGACCAUACAAUUUUUAAAUUAUUAAUUAUAAAUUUCUUAUAUUAGAUAAAGCAAUUAAACCAGUGCUGAUGAAGCCAUGAUGGAGAUGGCCGUGGGAGGAGUAGGCCUAAUUUUCAUGAAUGGAGCUGGUGAGGAGCACUAGAAGAUGCUGGAAUCCUUGUCACGGCCCAGGGUUAUUGUAGUUGAUGCUACAUUCAUUCUAUUUGAAUGAUGCACCAAGACCCAAUCCCCUUCCUUUGGUUCUCCCUGGACAAGAGCCUUGGCAGAGACUCACAGACAUCUAAACUUCGGUCUAGGGGGAGUCAUUAAGACCUCAUUUGUCACCCAUCACAUCUAUCCCUAAAGAGAGAGUGCAAGGACUAUGAAAAUAUCCUGUCCUGGGAUUAGGGAAAUAGGCAGUUGGAGCCAUUUCCUUCCUUGUCUGCUGAUCUAAGAAAGAGAUUCCUUUUCCUAUUUAUGUUCUGGUUUUAAGAAAUUACUAAUUUGAUCAGACUGUGCUCAUGGAUAAGAGACAAUAAGAAGAUGCUGUCUUUAAUUUCUUCGAAUAAUUUAAUAUUCAAUCUUAAUAGAUCUUCCAUUAUGAAGGAUGAAGUAGACAAAAGUUAACUACAGCUUCUGCCUCCAUUCUUGGAAAAGACAUGCCAGCAAUUAGAUGCUGGUGGUGAAGGACUCUUUCCACAAGUUAUGGGAUUACUGUCAUAGUCCUUCAAACAACACAGGACUUGAUGCUGUUUUAACAGUUUUUGUCUGAAAACUACCUUGAUUUUGUUUUUUGCCUGUAUUGUCCUCUUUUAAUCAUUCAACCUGGCUGGGAUUCAGCAAUUUCUGUGUUUCAAACCUUUCGACUGACUUAACCAAUUUUAACACCUUUGCUUCUUUCACUUUGAUCCUUGAAUUAGCUUCCCAGAGAUACUCUAAAAGAUUUAUGAUUAAAACUUCUUUCUGGGUAAAAGAUUAUUAUUAAUAGUAUUUAAUUUUAAUGUUUCCCAUGUUUGCUAUCUGCCCUCUUUUUCUUCACAAGUUUAACAUAACUUUUUCCCUUAUUCUCACAUGUCUAAAACAUCUAUCCCAUCAUCAAUGGUAAGGUCAUUUUGUUUUGCUUAUUUUUCCCCAACAUGUGCAGAUCUGGAGAAAUACUAUAUAACUUCAGAGAUAAUGCUAUUAUCAUCACAUUCACAGUGACAUAAGAAAGCUGAUGACAGUAACUGCUAGAGUAGGUCUAUUAUCUGUUUCUCACCAAAUCUUUACCUGGCUCUUCUCAGAUAAGCUAUUAGACAUGGGCUUUGGGUCACACAGGUCUUGAUCCAAAUCCUGGUUGCACUACUUACUAGCUUUGUGGCUUUGGGGAGUCUUUUAAGUACCCUCAAUUGGUCUAGAUAGGCCAGCUUAUGCUGCAGUAAAAAACAAUCUCAAAAUUUCAAUGGAUUAAAACAAGAAAUGUUUAUUUCUUGCUUAAGCAAAGUCUCAUACAGGUAUGGGCAGCUCUCUAGCACAGCUGUUGUCUUCAUGAUGGCUCAGCAUUAACCAUUCACGUCUACACUGGUUUCCUGGGUCACCAUGGCACAAGAAAGGUUAAGUGGAGAAUUAAGCAUCAACAACUAAAUGUUCCUAUCCAGGAAAAACAACAUUACUUCUGCUUCCUUUUCACUGGACAGAAUUCAUAUGACCACAACUAAUAUCCAUAUGGCAGAGCAUAGCUACUUCCAUGUGCGCAGAAAGAAGACAGAAGUGGAUACCAAUGAACAAUUAUAAUGCCGCAUUCCCUAACCUUCAUUUUCCUCAUCAAUAAAAUGGCAAAGGAUUAUUAUGUCAAGUCAAUAAGAAAAUGUAUAUUAAAUGCUUAGAAUUAAAACUGCAAAC
This 2120-nucleotide long non-coding RNA is filed under the name Homo sapiens (human). RNAcentral describes it as "long non-coding RNA NONHSAT154063". The record is from RNAcentral. Lineage: Eukaryota; Metazoa; Chordata; Mammalia; Primates; Hominidae.